UACGUAGGGUCCGAGCGUUGUCCGGAAUUAUUGGGCGUAAAGAGCGUGUAGGCGGCCAGGUAGGUCUGCUGUGAAAACUCGAGGCUUAACCUCGAGCUGUCGGCGGAAACCAUCUGGCUAGAGUCCGGAAGAGGAGAAUGGAAUUCCCGGUGUAGCGGUGAAAUGCGCAGAUAUCGGGAAGAACACCCGUGGCGAAGGCGGUUCUCUGGGACGGUACUGACGCUGAGACGCGAAAGCGUGGGGAGCGAACAGG
This 253-nucleotide ribosomal RNA is filed under the name uncultured bacterium. RNAcentral's name for it is "partial 16S ribosomal RNA". It matches the Rfam family "Bacterial small subunit ribosomal RNA", at positions 524 to 776 of the family's 1533-position model. The record is from RNAcentral.